This 497-nucleotide ribosomal RNA is filed under the name uncultured bacterium. RNAcentral's name for it is "partial 16S ribosomal RNA". It matches the Rfam family "Bacterial small subunit ribosomal RNA", at positions 28 to 507 of the family's 1533-position model. The record is from RNAcentral.
GAUGAACGCUGGCGGCGUGCCUAAUACAUGCAAGUCGAGCGAACAGACGAGGAGCUUGCUCCUCUGACGUUAGCGGCGGACGGGUGAGUAACACGUGGAUAACCUACCUAUAAGACUGGGAUAACUUCGGGAAACCUGAGCUAAUACCUGAUAAUAUAUUGAACCGCAUGGUUCAAUGGUGAAAGACGGUUUUGCUUUCACUUAUAGAUGGUUCCGCGCCGCCUUAGCUAGUUGGUAAGGUAACGGCUUACCAAGGCCACGAUCCGUAGCCGACCUGAGAGGGUGAUCGGCCACACUGGAACUGAGACGCGGUCCAGGCUCCUACGGGAGGCAGCAGUAGGGACUCUUGCGAAAUGGGCGAAAGCCUGACGGAGCAACGCCGCGUGAGUGAUGAAGGUCUUCGGAUCGUAAAACUCUGUUAUUAGGGAAGAACAAAUGUGUAAGUCACUAUGCACGUCUUGACGGUAACUAAUCAGAAAGCCACGGCUAACUACGUG